AUCCUCUCAUUGUCACACCUGGAGAGUUUCCAGUACUCGACCAGUCUUGGCUACCGGAGGGUGAGUCAAGCAGAGGCAUACUCAUUCCAUUCCUAUCUUGGCAGUGGAUAGUGAGUGGAAAGCAAUCUGCUACAAGU
This is a small nucleolar RNA of Tachyglossus aculeatus (Australian echidna), 137 nucleotides long. The record is from RefSeq and is a predicted model, not a curated record. NCBI's taxonomy places the organism in Eukaryota, Metazoa, Chordata, Mammalia, Monotremata, Tachyglossidae.